Long non-coding RNA from Helianthus annuus (common sunflower), 1680 nucleotides. RefSeq lists it as uncharacterized. The record is from RefSeq and is a predicted model, not a curated record. The transcript has 2 exons. Lineage: Eukaryota; Viridiplantae; Streptophyta; Magnoliopsida; Asterales; Asteraceae.
UCCUUCCUAAAAACUUCUAACUUCCCUCCUCCCACCACGUUCCUAAAAACCUCUAAUCUCCCUCCUCACGACCAACUCUAACCUAAUUCUGUCCCUCCUUCCUCCCAUAACAUGGAAAGAGGCUGGAUUUGGGUAAUUCUAUGUUUGAAUCAAUGGGUUGAGGGUUUGGAGGUUUGGUCUUUGUGGUCUCCGCGGUACCGAAGGCGAAGACGCGUGAGGAUGUUAAAGGUGGGCGGUUUAAGUUUUUGGCUGAAAGUGGGGGUCUGAGUACCAUGGAUGUUCUCUGUCAGGUACGGUUUUACAUGUGGUUGAUUUUAUUUUUGUAAAAAUAACUUGUUUGUUUGCUUUGGUAUUCAUAGGCAAUUCAAUAUAUGCCUAUUGUUGAUGAUGAUUAAUUCAAGGUUUUAUGUGCAUUCCCUCAUGUGAUUUUGAUUGUAAUAAAAUGUUGUUUGUUUAGAGUUGUAGAGUUUAACCACAUUCAUAAGCUCUAUUCAGGGGAGGAAAUUGUUUAACUGAUUGUGUACUUAAUUUGUUGAACAGAUUUGUGGCACUAAAAAAAGAUAUAGAAUCACAGAGAAACUUUAUUAUUGAAUGUAUAGGGGGCUCUCUUAUUUUGUACAGAGGUAGAAGAACGAUGGCAAGGGAAGAAGAAAAAGAGGAAUUAUUGGCCUUUUCUCACUUGGAUGAGCUUGUUCAGGCUUCUUCGGUACAGUUAUUUUGGGCUUCUUGUUUUCGAUAUAUCUUGUAGUUCAUGCCCUUAUAGUGAUCAAAGAAGGUUUAUGAAACCUAACUUAAUAUGCAGGACUCAAAUUUGAACCUACAGGAUGGUGUAACCUUAAAAAUUUUUAUUGAAUGCCAAAGUCUUCAAGUGUAUUGCAAGUUUAGCAACUAAGGUGUGUUAACAGCAGGUGUAUUUUUCAAGUGUCGGGCUGUAUUUUGGUUGGCUUUUAUAUUGAACCGGUAAAGUUUUUAGGAAGUCGCUGAAAUUUUUGGUUGGUUGUCGGCACUUGAUCGUCUCAUUACAUCAUUUUUUGACAUGGAUAAGCUGGCUAGUUGAUUGUUUAAGUACUUGUUUAAUAUUUUAGUCUUCGUAGUAUACCGUAUUUGUCUGUCCAGUAUCGGCUUCAAUUUAUGUUAUUAAUCGUAUAAUGUGACUUCAGAUGCUAGUAAUUGAAUGCUGAUACACUUUUGAAAUUCUUGUUUUGUAUAAAUUGGAAUAAUGCCCAGAUGCUUUUUAAUACUUAAGCAAGUGUCAUGAUUUGUUUAACACUAAGUUUGACACUAAGAUUUCUCUUUUGGGUAUAGGUGGAGUUCAAGUUGUAAACCUGAGCGGCUGAGCAUGUGAAACUAUGCAUUUGUAGAGAUUUUUUUAAGGAUUAAGUAAUCUUAUCUGAUGCUAACAAUUGAAUUUAUUUAUUUUAGUUACCUGAAAGAACCCUCAAUCAGUGUGACGAUGAUAUUGGAACUACCAUGAAAAAGGCAUAGUUAAGGGAGGCAAAGUUGUAUACAUAGAUGCGGAUAUUGAUAGAAUACGUGAAGAGUGUUUGAGUUAUUGGGCAUUGUUUGUUUUUAAGUGACUAUUAUAGAUGUUGAAGUAUGUAUGUCAAUUAAUAUUUUUUUAGUCUAAGAUAUUUGUAAUAUAUUUGACAUGACUAUGAAAUGAAUUGUUUUGUUUUGUUU